AUGGACGGCGUCCGGAGCUUAGCACAGUCCCUGGGAGCCGAAGAUGGCGGCCGGAGCAACCUUUUCCGCACGCUUGGCCCGGCGCUCUUCAUCUCGAUUGGGUACAUCGACCUCGGCAAGUGGGUCACCACCGUGGACGCCGGCUCUCGCUUCGGCUAUGAUCUCGUGCUGCUCGUGCUGCUCUUCAACUUCUCCGCCGUCCUCUGCCAGUACCUCUCCAUAUGCAUCGGCAUGGUCACUACCAAGAAUCUUGCCCAGAUAUGCGUCCAGGAGUACAGUCAGCCAAUAUGUGUUGGCCUUGGUGUUCAGGCAUUGCUGUCCUUGUUAACUGCAGAGAUUACCAUGAUAUCAGGCAUUGCAAUGGGGUUUAACCUUGUAUUCGAGUACGAUGACCUUGUCACAGGCAUAUGGUUUGCAAGCUUUGCAGUUAAUCUACUACCAUAUGCGAUCUCCCAUCUGGACAAGAAGAUGGCUGGAAUAUUCAAUGCCUGCAUAGCAGGUCUCGCACUUGUUUGUUUCGUGCUUGGUUUAUUGGUCAGUCAACCAAGAGUUCCUCUCGAUAUGGAUGUGAUGUUCCCCAAGUUGAGUGGUGAAAGUGCCUACUCGCUCAUGGCACUUCUGGGUGGAAAUGUAAUAGCGCACAACUUCUAUGUUCAUUCAUCAUUUGUACAGGCUCAAAGAAGAUCCCCUGUUACACUUGGGGCCUUAUUUCAUGACCACCUUGUUUCGAUCUUAUUUAUUUUUUCUGGGGUUUUUCUUGUGAACUAUGUUCUGAUAAGCUCAGCAGCAGUUGGAUCCGGUGAUACACUGCUCCUGACCUUUCAAGAUGUUGUAGAGCUAAUGAACCAGAUAUUCAUGAAUCCUGCAGCGCCGCUUGUGUUCUUAAUGGUUCUUCUCCUUUCGAGCCACAUCGUCUCACUGUCAUCUAUUAUUGGUAGCCAUGCAAUUGUAGAGAAUUUCUUUGGUAUAAACCUUUCUCUUUCGGCACAUCAUCUGCUACUCAAGGUUUUUGCCAUGAUUCCUACAAUCUACUAUGCAAAGGUUGCGGGCUCAGAAGCGAUAUAUCAGUUAAUUAUCAUCUGUCCAGUCAUCCAGGCUAUGCUCCUUCCUGCGUCUGUUAUACCUGUUUUCCGGGUUGCUUCCUCAAGAUCAAUAAUGGGCAACUACAGAAUAUCUUCAUCUGUUGAAAUAUUGGCCUUUCUCGCAUUUCUUCUCAUGCUAUUUACAAACAUCAUUUUCAAGGCAGAAAUCCUGUUUGGUGAUAGCACCUGGACAAACAGCAUGAAAGGGAACACCGGGAGCCCUGUUGUACUUCCAUAUACUCUUAUCGUCCUAAUUUCAUGUUCAUGUCUUCUGUUUACACUGUUUCUGGCUGUUACUCCACUGAAGUCUGCAAGUAAUGAAGCUGAAACUCUGGAGUUCUCUAUGCACUCUCAGAGAGAACCAUUGGGCAGUACUCACCAUAGAGAAGAUGUUUUUCUGGAAGAUGUUGCCCAUGAAGAAGUUCAAAGGUCUUCUACUGAUGCUAUUCUCAGGGAUCCAAUGGAAAGUCAUCAAAGUCAUCAGAAAUCAGCUUUGGAGCAUACUGAAAGUUCUGACACCACUGUAGAGUCUGAUCCUGACAGUCAACAAUCAACUGCUUAUGCAGUGAGUACUCCUAAAGCUCAACCCUCACCACCUGUCUACCAUGAAGAGCCAAAACCAGUUUGUGUGGCUGACUGGACAGAGUCGGUACCAAAGGUUUCUACAGCCAGUGAAGUAGAACAUAUUCAUGCAGAGAACAUCAAACGGAAGAGCGCAACUGAAAAAGAUGUUGAAGUAGUAGCAGAAGUUUGCAGGGACAAGGAUAGUGUUGCCUCACAUAAUUUGGAACAUGAGAAGUCUGCUGGAGGCAGAGCACCUUCCAAUCCUGAUGGUCCACCAUCUCUUACUUUCAGCAGGGGAAAAGACUCUGAUGCUGGCAGUGGCAGCCUCUCGACACAGUCUGGUUUGGGCCGUGCUGCAAGGAAGCAGUUAGCAGCACAUCUUGACGAGUUCUGGGGGCAUCUUUUUGAUUAUCAUGGUAAGCUUACACAAGAUGCUAAUGAAAAAAGGUAUAACUUUUUGCUCGGACUGGACUUGAGAGCAGCUAAUUCUGCUGUGAGGGCUGAUAACCAAACCAUUGAAGCUUCAAAGAGCCCCUUGAUGAGAGAUGCGCUGCGAGCAUCAGCUACCUCACUGAACUCGUGGGACUCGAUGUCCCGUGAUAAGGAUAUCCGUAGUCUAGACUGGAGUUCUGGGCAUCAGAUGGGUCCAAUGGGUUCAUCCAACUGGUCUCAGAACAUGAAUUCACCAUAUACAGACAUUUUGAGUUCAAGCAGCAGCUUACUUGAGCAAAAUCCAAAAUACUAUUCAAAUUUCAAUAUGCCAUCUUACUCUGAUAAUCAGUUCUAUCAGCCUGCUACUAUUCAUGGAUAUCAGCUGGCAUAUUUGAGAGGGAUGAAUGCAAGUAGAAAUCAGCACUCUAACAUCCCCCUGGAUCCAAGACGGGUUCCUAGGUUAUCUGAACAUUCUUUUCCUAACUAUGCUGAUCCUGUUAUGCAUGCCCGCAACCAAAAUUUACGGGGUUCAUUGGGAGCUAACUCUCCACAAAGCCCAGCAAUGAAUCGCUUCAAUGCAACGGUCGAGAGACCUUAUUAUGAUUCUACCUCUGUUGAUGAAAGUGAAAGUGUUGGCUCACCUGGAUACUCAAAGAAGUAUCACAGUUCACCUGACAUAUCUGCAGUAAUUGCUGCAAGCAGAAAGGCUGCGUUGAACGAAGCAAAUUUUGGUGGUGCUGCCGGAAAUCAAGCAUACCCAAGUAAGCUGGCAUCUGAGAGAUCACAAUAUGUGGAGUCGGCAGCCAGGUCCAAAGCCCAAAUUGCAUUUAAUGAGCGCUCACAACAUAAUCUCCAAAGAGAUGUCCUUUCUAUGCAGUUGGGUAUGAACCCCAACAAUAAAUCCCUUUGGGCCCAACAACCGUUUGAACAGCUGUUUGGUAUGUCAAGUGCAGAAUUGAAUAAGAGCGAGGUGAACACUGGCCAGAGAUCAAGUGGCAUGACAAAGGAUGAUUCCUCUUACACAGAGUGUGAGGCAGAGCUUCUUCAAUGUCUUAGGCUCUGCAUCAUGAAUAUCUUGAAACUGGAAGGAUCAGGAGGGCUCUUUAGGCAAAAUGGUGGUUGUGAUGAAAAUUUAAUUGAUCAAGUUGCAGCAGCUGAGAGACUUUCACAAGAAACAACUGAGAAUCUGUUGUCGGCUGAUCUUCUGCGCAUGCGCGGUUGUGGUGAAACCUGCGUUUGGCAGGCUACCCUGGUUGUUAGUUUUGGUGUCUGGUGUAUCCGCCGGGUACUGGAUCUUUCCCUUGUGGAAAGUAGACCGGAACUUUGGGGGAAGUACACAUAUGUUCUGAACCGUCUUCAGGGAAUCAUUGAACCCGCCUUUUCCAAGCCCCGGAAACCUCUCACCGGGUGCGCAUGCCUUCAGAUAACAGGCCCGGGUGCCAGGCCCAUUUCUGGCACCUUCACCACUUCAGCUGCCAUCUUGGAGACGAUCAGGGACGUGGAAGUAGCUAUCUGUGGACGCAAGGGUCGAAGCGGAACAGCCGCAGGAGACGUAGCUUUUCCUAAAGGGAAGGAGAACCUGGCUUCAGUUCUCAAGCGGUACAAGCGUAGGCUGUCGAGCAAGCCGUCUGCUGGGCAGUAG
Molecule: ribosomal RNA, 3720 nt
Filed under: Triticum aestivum (bread wheat)
Lineage: Eukaryota; Viridiplantae; Streptophyta; Magnoliopsida; Poales; Poaceae
Description: partial small subunit ribosomal RNA
Source: RNAcentral